CCUCUCGAUUCGAGAGGGCGGCAUCGCUAUAUGUGGGGCGUCACCUCGGUGACUAUGGCGAUAAACGUUGCGUGGAAUAAACGUUGCGGACCCGGGGGCAGUGCCCGGCGUCUCCACCAUCACCACCUUCCUUGUCGGGAAGGACGGCAUGGGGACGAAACAGGCUCGACGCGCGUGGUAAAGACGCAGCUUUUGCCCGGCAUUGUACCGCCGUUAUCGGGCUAAAUCACAAGUGCCAACGACAACAGCCGCGAGGCUGUGGCGCUCGCUGCCUAACAGGUAAGCGCGGUUCGGGGGGCACCGGGCAACAGAAGCCCCCCACU
This 323-nucleotide transfer-messenger RNA is filed under the name Acetobacteraceae bacterium. It matches the Rfam family "Alphaproteobacteria transfer-messenger RNA". From Rfam's summary of the family: Bacterial tmRNA, also known as 10Sa RNA or SsrA, is named for its dual tRNA and mRNA-like properties. The record is from RNAcentral. Lineage: Bacteria; Pseudomonadati; Pseudomonadota; Alphaproteobacteria; Acetobacterales; Acetobacteraceae.